GACGAACGCUGGCGGCGUGCUUAACACAUGCCAGUCGAACGGAAAGGCCUUUUCGGAGGUACUCGAGUGGCGAACGGGUGAGUAACACGUGGGUGAUCUGCCCUGCACUCUGGGAUAAGCCUGGGAAACUGGGUCUAAUACCGGAUAGGACCGCACUUUAGUGUGUGUGGUGGAAAGUUUUUUCGGUGUAGGAUGAGCCCGCGGCCUAUCAGCUUGUUGGUGGGGUAAUGGCCUACCAAGGCGGCGACGGGUAGCCGGACUGAGAGGUUGGUCGGCCACAUUGGGACUGAGAUACGGCCCAGACUCCUACGGGAGGCAGCAGUGGGGAAUAUUGCACAAUGGGCGCAAGCCUGGUGCAGCGACGCCGCGUGGGGGAUGACGGCCUUCGGGUUGUAAACUCCUUUCGCCAGGGACGAAGCGUUUUGUGACGGUACCUGGAGAAGAAGCACCGGCUAACUACGUG
Molecule: ribosomal RNA, 463 nt
Filed under: uncultured bacterium
Lineage: Bacteria
Description: partial 16S ribosomal RNA
Rfam family: Bacterial small subunit ribosomal RNA
Source: RNAcentral